UUGACCUCAAAUCAGGUAGGACUACCCGCUGAACUUAAGCAUAUCAAUAAGCGGAGGAAAAGAAACUAACAAGGAUUCCCCUAGUAACUGCGAGUGAAGAGGGAAAAGCUCAAAUUUUGAAUCUGGCAGUCUUUUGGCUGUCCGAGUUGUAAUCUAGAGAAGUGUCUUCCGCGCUGGCCCGUGUACAAGUCUCCUGGAAGGGAGCGUCAUAGAGGGUGAGAAUCCCGUCUUUGACACGGACUACCAGUGCUAUGUGAUGCGCUCUCGACGAGUCGAGUUGUUUGGGAAUGCAGCUCAAAAUGGGUGGUAAAUUCCAUCUAAAGCUAAAUACAGGCGAGAGACCGAUAGCGAACAAGUACCGUGAGGGAAAGACGAAAAGAACUUUGAAAAGAGAGUUAAACAGUACGUGAAAUUGCUGAAAGGGAAACGCUUGAUGUCAGUCGCAUUGGCUAGGGAUCAACCUUGCUUAAUCGCUCGGUGUACUUCCUAGUUGAUGGGUCAGCAUCAGUUUCGAUCGUCAUACAAAGGCGAAGGGAAAGUGGCACUCUUUAGGGAGUGUGUUAUAGACCCUCGUCGGAUGUGUCGGUUGGGACUGAGGAACUCUGCACGGACUAGCUUUUGUGCAUGGAUGCUGCAUA
This 638-nucleotide ribosomal RNA is filed under the name uncultured Chamonixia. RNAcentral's name for it is "eukaryotic LSU rRNA". It matches the Rfam family "Eukaryotic large subunit ribosomal RNA", at positions 1 to 632 of the family's 3401-position model. Lineage: Eukaryota; Fungi; Basidiomycota; Agaricomycetes; Boletales; Boletaceae. The record is from RNAcentral.